RNAcentral lists this ribosomal RNA (274 nucleotides) under uncultured bacterium. RNAcentral describes it as "partial 16S ribosomal RNA". It matches the Rfam family "Bacterial small subunit ribosomal RNA", at positions 523 to 796 of the family's 1533-position model. The record is from RNAcentral.
AUACGGAGGGUGCAAGCGUUACUCGGAAUCACUGGGCGUAAAGGACGCGUAGGCGGGUUGGUUAGUCAGGUGUGAAAUCCUACAGCUUAACCGUAGAACUGCACUUGAAACUACCAACCUAGAGUAUGGGAGGGGGAGAUGGAAUUAGUGGUGUAGGGGUAAAAUCCGUAGAUAUCACUAGGAAUACCGAAAGCGAAGGCGAUCUCCUGGAACAUAACUGACGCUAAGGCGUGAAAGCGUGGGGAGCAAACAGGAUUAGAUACCCGAGUAGUCC